This 316-nucleotide ribosomal RNA is filed under the name uncultured bacterium. Its description in RNAcentral is "bacterial SSU rRNA". It matches the Rfam family "Bacterial small subunit ribosomal RNA", at positions 28 to 334 of the family's 1533-position model. The record is from RNAcentral.
GAUAAACGCUGGCGGCGGCACAUAAGACAUGCAAGUCGAACGGACUUAACCAUUAGUUUACUAUUGGAGCGGUUAGUGGCGGACUGGUGAGUAACGCGUAAGCAAUCUGCCUAUCAGAGGGGAAUAACAGUGAGAAAUCACUGCUAAUACCGCAUAAGCUGUGAGUAUCACAUGAUACAAAUAGAAAAGGAGCAAUCCGCUGAUAGAUGAGCUUGCGUCUGAUUAGUUAGUUGGUGAGGUAACGGCCCACCAAGACGAUGAUCAGUAGCCGGACUGAGAGGUUGAACGGCCACAUUGGGACUGAGAUACGGCCCAG